GUGGGGAAUAUUGGGCAAUGGGCGCAAGCCUGACCCAGCAACGCCGCGUGAAGGAAGAAGGCUUUCGGGUUGUAAACUUCUUUUACCAGGGACGAAACAAAUGACGGUACCUGGUGAAUAAGCCACGGCUAACUACGUGCCAGCAGCCGCGGUAAUACGUAGGUGGCGAGCGUUAUCCGGAUUUAUUGGGUGUAAAGGGCGUGUAGGCGGGACAGCAAGUCAGAUGUGAAAACCAGAGGCUCAACCUCUGGCCUGCAUUUGAAACUGUUGUUCUUGAGUGUCGGAGGGGUGAUCGGAAUUCCGUGUGUAGCGGUGAAAUGCGUAGAUAUACGGAGGAACACCAGUGGCGAAGGCGGAUUACUGGACGAUAACUGACGCUGAGGCGCGAAAGCGUGUGGAGCAAACAGGAUUAGAAACCCGGGUAGUCC
This 428-nucleotide ribosomal RNA is filed under the name uncultured bacterium. Its description in RNAcentral is "partial 16S ribosomal RNA". It matches the Rfam family "Bacterial small subunit ribosomal RNA", at positions 354 to 796 of the family's 1533-position model. The record is from RNAcentral.